RNAcentral lists this long non-coding RNA (2020 nucleotides) under Homo sapiens (human). RNAcentral's name for it is "small nucleolar RNA host gene 11". Lineage: Eukaryota; Metazoa; Chordata; Mammalia; Primates; Hominidae. The record is from RNAcentral.
GAGAGAGCGUCUUGUGGCUGCGGCCUGCCCCUCAGCCUCCUCCGCGCGGUUACCCCUGUACCCGCCGCCAUCCGUCCUGGCGCUCCGGAUGAGUCAAUGAGGGGCAGGGCCCGAGGAGUGGUCUUCCCAAGAACCCCUGGUGGCCUCCCAAGGCCGGUGCUGUGUACCUCCUCCCCGACAAAAGGGGAAACUGAGGCCCCGAGGGGAGUGGGAAGAGCCGGCUGGACGUCAGGCCCAGCCGCUGGUGCAGUGGUCCGUCCCCUCUGCCGGGGUGGGCCCCUCGGGUUUCGCGUGUCCUCGGGAAAGAGACUGGCGGGUGAGCCGCGCCCUCGGCCUUCGCUGGGCUAAGCCGACCCCAUGCAGACGUCAAACCCCCCUAGGUCGGCACAGCCUCUCUGCGGGGAGGCUUAGUGCCCCCUUGAGAAACGGCUUGGCAACGCUGUGCCCGGGGCCUUGCACGCGGGCUGAGGGGGCUAGAGACCUCGCGACUUUUACUCCCCCGACCCCGAUCUCCGACUCCUGACUUUGGAAGCCCCCAAAGCUGCUUUUCGGUUGCCUACAAAGUGUCGGUCAUUGUGCCACGUCCUUGGAACCGUGAACUCAUUUUCUCCUCAAUAACCUUUAAAAAGUAGCUGUAAAACCUCCAUUUUACAGACCAGUUGGCUGAGGUUUAAAUGGAGGACGCUCCCAGGGCCCCAGAGGGGCGAAUUCCAGACUCCUUUGCCAGGACCUUGUACUAAGCCCCUUCCCUACGCUUUUCCCUGCCUAGGCCUCGUGGGCUGUGCGGCUAUCCUGGAGACAGAUGACAGCUCUCCCUUGGAUGGCUUUGCUGGUUCCGCACCAGCCAGCGCCCCCAUUUUUCCUGCAGCACCCUGAUCUGCACUCCCUGAGGGGCUCCCACUGUCCGCGGUGUGAGGAUGUCCCUGGGUAAGUGGUGCUGGUCAUGAGCACUUUGGGGGACCCUUCAAAUUCCCUUCUGGGGGACCCCAGCGGAGGGCAUGGUCAUGAAUUCCGAGAACUGUAUGGCAAAGCCGGGUGCAGAGGAGAGCCUGGCUAAGUUCUUUCAUUCUCCUGAGCUUGACUUUCUGUAAUGUAGGGAAACUGCGAAAGCUCUGUAAGUGGGGAGAUCUUGCACGUUUUUCUUGCUUUUGAACCCAUGAUGUCUGGCUACUUGUAGAUACUCAAUAUUUGUGGGAUGAAUGAACAAUUUAAGCCUUUUUUUUUUUUAACCAGAAAUUGGUCUUCUGUGACUUUCUUGAUGGGGGCAGAUGAGAUCUUUGUACUGCAUUAAGUGGAUAGCGCUCAGGUCCUUUGGGCUUGGCGCUUUGGCAAUCUCCAGGCAGCUCACUUUGGCCUCUGUUCCUGGAUCCCCUUUGCUCUUUUCUGCGCCUGCAUUCAUAGUCCACUGUGUGCAGAGGCAUGGGAGUUGUCAUGUUGGGAACAUGCUAGACCUCAGUAUCCUUGAGCUUGAAGAAAGACGACAGAACACUGGAGACCAAGUACUUACAGCCUUCUGCUCUGUGGCCCCUCCUCACUCCAGGGAUGCUGCCUUGGGUCUGGAAACUGUUAGAGGAAACCCCAAGAGGUGCAGGCACUGAGCCUCUCAGGACAAUGACCUGGGGUCCCAGCUCCCCUGGAGGGGCCUCCUCAUGAUUGUUUGGGGGUUGAUCACAGACCAAGAGUGACGAGUGAUGUCACCCUGUGACUCAUGGCUGGACCUUCUUGCCCCUAUUGUCUCAGCACAACAUUAUUCGACUUUUCCCUCAGCGUGGGUGGGCAGAGGAAAAGCCCUGUGGCUCUGGGGACUUGGGAUCCAGAGUUGAAGACCCUUCAGCUGGCUCUGCCCUGCCAGUGCCACAGAGUGCCAUGGCCCAGGAAGACAGGUUUUCUUCCAUCUAGGCCAGGCCAUCCAGUGGCCAUCCUCCGUGUCCUCCCGCCUCCUCCUGGUGUGACUUCUGAAAACCAAGAAUUUGUUCCUGUUGACUUUUUCUGUGCUAUGGACCAUUGUCCUCUCACCCAC